RNAcentral lists this ribosomal RNA (682 nucleotides) under uncultured marine group I thaumarchaeote. RNAcentral describes it as "bacterial SSU rRNA". It matches the Rfam family "Archaeal small subunit ribosomal RNA", at positions 321 to 1006 of the family's 1478-position model. The record is from RNAcentral. Lineage: Archaea; Thermoproteati; Nitrososphaerota.
CCCUACGGGGUGCAGCAGGCGAGAAAACUUUGCAAUGUGCGAAAGCACGACAAGGUUAAUCCGAGUGGUUUCUGCUAAAGGAACCUUUUGUCAGUCCUAGAAACACUGGUGAAUAAGGGGUGGGCAAGUUCUGGUGUCAGCCGCCGCGGUAAAACCAGCACCUCAAGUGGUCAGGAUGAUUAUUGGGCCUAAAGCAUCCGUAGCCUGCUUUGUUAGUUUUCGGUUAAAUCCAUACGCUUAACGUAUGGGCUGCCGGGAAUACUGCAAAGCUAGGGAGUGGGAGAGGUAGACGGUACUCGGUAGGAAGGGGUAAAAUCCUUUGAUCUAUUGAUGACCACCUGUGGCGAAGGCGGUCUACCGGAACACGUCCGACGGUGAGGGAUGAAAGCUGGGGGAGCAAACCGGAUUAGAUACCCGGGUAGUCCCAGCUGUAAACUAUGCAAACUCGGUGAUGCAUUGGCUUGAUGCCAAUGCAGUGCCGCAGGGAAGCCGUUAAGUUUGCCGCCUGGGAAGUACGUACGCAAGUAUGAAACUUAAAGGAAUUGGCGGGGGAGCACCACAAGGGGUGAAGCCUGCGGUUCAAUUGGAGUCAACGCCAGAAAUCUUACCCGGAGAGACAGCAGAAUGAAAGUCAGCUGAGACUUUACCAGACAGCUGAGAAGUGGUGCAUGGCAAGGCGAUU